Molecule: ribosomal RNA, 460 nt
Filed under: uncultured bacterium
Lineage: Bacteria
Description: partial 16S ribosomal RNA
Rfam family: Bacterial small subunit ribosomal RNA
Source: RNAcentral
CCUACGGGAGGCAGCAGUGAGGAAUAUUGGUCAAUGGGCGCGAGCCUGAACCAGCAAAGUAGCGUGAAGGAUGACUGCCCUACGGGUUGUAAACUUCUUUUAUAAAGGAAUAAAGUGAGGCACGUGUGCCUUUUGGCAUGUACUUUAUGAAUAAGGAUAGGCUAACUCCGUGCAAGCAGCCGCGGUAAUACGGAGGUUCCGAGCGUUAUCAGGAUUUAUUGGGUUUAAAGGGAGCGUAGAUGGGUUGUUAAGUCAGUUGUGAAAGUUUGCGGCUCAACCGUAAAAUUGCAAUUGAUACUGGCAGUCUUGAGUACAUUAGAGGUAGGCGGAAUUCGUGGUGUAGCGGUGAAAUGCUUAGAUAUCACGAAGAACCCCGAUUGCGAAGGCAGCUUACUAAACUGUGACUGACAUUGAUGCUCGAAAGUGUGGGUAUCAAACAGGAUUAGAUACCCCUGUAGUC